GACGAACGCUGGCGGCGUGCUUAACACAUGCAAGUCGAACGGAAAGGCCCUGCUUUUGUGGGGUGCUCGAGUGGCGAACGGGUGAGUAACACGUGAGUAACCUGCCCUUGACUUUGGGAUAACUUCAGGAAACUGUGGCUAAUACCGGAUAGGAGCUCCUGCUGCAUGGCGGGGGUUGGAAAGUUUCGGCGGUUGGGGAUGGACUCGGGGCUUAUCAGCUUGUUGGUGGGGUAGUGGUUUACCAAGGCUUUGACGGGUAGCCGGCCUGAGAGGGUGACCGGCCACAUUGGGACUGAGAUACGGCCCAGACUCCUACGGGAGGCAGCAGUGGGGAAUAUUGCACAAUGGGCGGAAGCCUGAUGCAGCAACGUCGCGUGCGGGAUGACGGCCUUCGGGUUGUAAACCGCUUUCGCCUGUGACGAAGCGUGAGUGACGGUAAUGGGUAAAGAAGCACCGGCUAACUACGUG
Molecule: ribosomal RNA, 468 nt
Filed under: uncultured bacterium
Lineage: Bacteria
Description: partial 16S ribosomal RNA
Rfam family: Bacterial small subunit ribosomal RNA
Source: RNAcentral